This 165-nucleotide ribosomal RNA is filed under the name uncultured bacterium. Its description in RNAcentral is "partial 16S ribosomal RNA". It matches the Rfam family "Bacterial small subunit ribosomal RNA", at positions 355 to 511 of the family's 1533-position model. The record is from RNAcentral.
UAGGGAAUCUUCCACAAUGGACGAAAGUACUGAUGGAGCAACGCCGCGUGAGUGAAGAAGGGUUUCGGCUCGUAAAACUCUGUUGUUAAAGAAGAACAUAUCUGAGAGUAACUGUUCAGGUAUUGACGGUAUUUAACCAGAAAGCCACGGCUAACUACGUGCCAA